Molecule: ribosomal RNA, 300 nt
Filed under: uncultured Aeropyrum sp.
Lineage: Archaea; Thermoproteati; Thermoproteota; Thermoprotei; Acidilobales; Acidilobaceae
Description: bacterial SSU rRNA
Rfam family: Bacterial small subunit ribosomal RNA
Source: RNAcentral
CGGAUAACGAGGGACCAGGAGGGGGGUGAAUACGUGGGGUGGAAGGGUGAUCCGGAAUGAUUGGGCGUAAAGGGCGCGUAGGCGGUUUUUAAUUCGGCGGGGAAAGCCCACGGCUCAACCGUGGAGGGUCAUUGGAAACUGGAAAACUUGAGUGCAGAAGAGGAAAGGGGAAUUCCAUGUGUAGCGGUGAAAUGCGCAGAGAUAUGGAGGAACACCAGUGGCGAAGGCGACUUUCUGGUCUGCAACUGACGCUGAUGUGCGAAAGCGUGGGGAUCAAACAGGAUUAGAUACCCUGUAGUC